CACCUCUAAUCCUCCCCAUCAGUUCGUCCUAAACAAAACGGCCGCACGAACGCACCACGACCUUCUCUCCUCCUCCUCUGCUACCCACUCCACCCGACGAUCCUCCACUCGGCCGCCCCCUGUAGAUCCUCCGCUUGGCCGCCCGCCGUAGAUCCUUCGCUCGGCCGCCCCCAGCCGAUCAUCCUCUGCUGCCCCGCGGACUGCCGCCGCCGAUGAGCCCAUCUGAUGGCGGUGCCGACCCAUCUUCUGGUGCUGGAUGCGGCAACCAGGGCGAAGGAGAAGAAAUUAAUGUAGACUACCACCAUCGCCAGGUUGCACGUGAACAACCGACCGUUGUGGUGGCCUUCAGGUUGGCCACGGAGAAGUCCUGGAGCGGCGGCGUGUCCAAGAGGAUGCAGCUCGCCAGCCCGCUGCCCGCUGCCCGCCGCUCCUCCCCUGCCUUCUCCUUCUCUCCCUUUCCUUCUCCUUCCUUCUUUCCUUUCUCCAUGUUUUUUCACCUCCGGCUCCCUCUCUGUCGACUGUCUCUAUGCAGCUCCGCCUCUAUGGAGAUCGCCGCCCCGCGUGUGCCGUCACCUGUAAGACUCCGUUCGACGCCCGUCGUCCUCGCCUCCCAUGUCUCCUGCCGCUUGCCCCACAUCGUGGUGCACCAUGGAUGCCAGCCAGAUCGAGCAUGGGCACGAGAGGCGCCGCGCUCCCCUCCUUGCACGGCUGCUUUGCUGUCGUCGUCUCACCCAUCGCCGACUAGCAGAGUGGUCCACUUCCGGCACCGCAAUCCCAGCCAUCACCUGCGCCUCCCUCCGUCGCUGAUCCGCGGCCCGGCCCCGCCUCUGCCGUGCGUCGGCGGGAUACGCUGCCCAGGUACUGUCCGGCAGCAGCAUGCAGAUUUCUGAAACAAAAUUGAAUUUUCAGUGUCACUGGUUCAGAGUACGUUCAACUUCGUGCAUGUUGAAUACAUAUGGCCUAUGGGUGCUAUUUUACUCUCACUUCUAAGCUAUCCAAUGCAAUGGAUAUUUCCUGAUCAUCGUUCAUAAAAAAGACUCUACUGACAUAUACUUACAAAGCUUACAUCAGCAUGUUUUUUUUCUUACAUCAGCAAGUUAUUGUUUAAACUGGCGAGCAAACGAAUGUAAUCGAACACAUAUUUUUGGGGAAUAAAUUGUUAUACUAUAUUCAGUAACACACUAUUUCGUAGAUGAAAAUCAAUAUUCAACUUAAGGUAUUCUCGCAGAACCAUGAAUAGGAGCUACAUAUAUCGGUUUCGGCCAAAUAAAUUCUGAAGGUGGAAUACCAGUGAGAGCAGGCUCGAGACAUUGUGCUUUUUCAGUUGCUUUCUUCACCAAAUUGGGCAGCCUUUCUGUGUUCCCACAUGAUUUAUCGUUUGUAAUUUUAAUAUUGCAGAUGGAGAAUAAUUAUCCAUCUAGAUAUCUAUUGUAUGCUAGAGAGCGUCCCCGUUUAAAGGUCUAACAAACACAACUAUUGACGUAUAAUGUGCUGCCUAGUCUCUUCCAUCAGAUCGGUCUUUUGGUUGCAUUGGCUAGAACAUGCACUUCUAUAUGGUAUCAGAGCCAAGAGUUCUUGAGUUCAAGACCCGGCUGACGCAAUUAUAUUGCAGCCCACUUUCGGUCCACGUUUAGGCCUGAGGGAGCCACAUGAGGGGGAGUGUUGACGUAUAAUAUGCUGCCUAGUCUCUUCCAUCAGAUCGGUUUUUUGGUUGCAUUGGCUAGAGCAUGCACUUCUAUAACAACGAUUGAGGGGAAUGGAGCUUCCCAUCUCCAACAAAAAAAAUGCCACUGGUCAGGUGUGGUAUGCCCAAAUGUCAGUCGAGAAGAAAGCAGAAUUUCUCCAGAAGCAUCAUUUAGCCCCAGGAAAAGAAGGUUGCAGCUCUGGAAAGUGUUGCCACGGACCAAGUAGCAAACACGCCUGCUUCUGCGUCAAGGUCUAUGCAAUGUACUCAUCUGAGUGACAAAACAUACAGACGUAUAAAUGCCUGUGUAACUACAGACCCGUGACUGCUGAUCUUCAACUUGAUAAAAAAUUAGUCGGACAAAGAAAACAAACAUGUCAAGGUUGGUAUGCUGAGCUAUCAAAUGAGAAAGCAGAAUACCUAAAGAAGUAACGAACGGCUCGGCUACAAAAGAAAGAUGCAGCCGUUGAUGUGAAUGUCGAAGUACCUCAAUUAUCUGACCCACAUGUUUCACUGGGGGAUAUGCUCCGGUCUGACAUGGCGCUUGGCGAUAUUCCGCCGCUCUAUGAUGAUGACUGUGGCAUUGCGGAGUCGAACAUGGCAUUCCCGAUCCACCUUCGAUGAGUCGCCAGACAAGAAGUCACAAAGUUGCUGAACUAUGACAUGUACUAUUUUAGAGAUGUUCAAGAUUCGGCUUUGGGGUUAGGCUUGUUUUCUCAAUGGUUUGAUCAGAGUAGCUGCUGUUGCGAAAACCUAUUUGCUUGAUGAGGACAAUAAGAUUACAUCAGGCACUUGGGCAUCAUUCACCCUAAA
Triticum aestivum (bread wheat) is the source of this 2497-nucleotide long non-coding RNA. RefSeq lists it as uncharacterized. The transcript is spliced from 3 exons. Lineage: Eukaryota; Viridiplantae; Streptophyta; Magnoliopsida; Poales; Poaceae. The record is from RefSeq and is a predicted model, not a curated record.